This is a long non-coding RNA of Nematolebias whitei (Rio pearlfish), 210 nucleotides long. RefSeq lists it as uncharacterized. The transcript has 3 exons. Lineage: Eukaryota; Metazoa; Chordata; Actinopteri; Cyprinodontiformes; Rivulidae. The record is from RefSeq and is a predicted model, not a curated record.
GCAGGAGGAAACUCAACUCUCUGAGCAUCUGCAAAGUCAGGCUGCCUCAGACAGGAUUCAAAUGAGUCUUUUAGAAAAAAGGAACAAGGCUGCUGCAGAUAAAUCAAGAAGCCUAGCUGCUGAAAUUAUGGAGGUAAAGGAGAGUCUGGCAAAGGUUGAAGCUAGCAAAAGGGCAGCACAAGCUUCAGUCCCCACGCAAACCCACAAAUC